GCACGAACCCAAGAAUUCCUCGCAGCCUUCGAUAUCGUCACCUGGACCUUUCAUAGUGUACCCAUGCGAGAGCAAACUGUAGCCUUCAAACAUUACCCAGCCUCUGCUGUGGGCUGUGAACACUGAAGAGGUGGCACAAUU
RNAcentral lists this small nucleolar RNA (141 nucleotides) under Cavia porcellus (domestic guinea pig). Its description in RNAcentral is "Small nucleolar RNA SNORA42/SNORA80 family (ENSCPOG00000027580.2)". Lineage: Eukaryota; Metazoa; Chordata; Mammalia; Rodentia; Caviidae. The record is from RNAcentral.